UUCGAUUUUGCUGUUGAUGUACAUAGUUUGUGAAGAGAAGAUUUUGUAAUUCAUUUUGCCGAUGGAAUGAAUUACUAAAAGUUCAAAUUUGCUAAUUUCUGCAGUUCUGGUUCUCUAGAUUGGUCUUGGUACAUGAUACAUCUUAAGCUUGGUCUUGGUACAGGAUACAUCUUAAGCUGGAGUUCGUCGCUAAGCAGGUUUGAUUAUGUAAAGUUCAAGUUUUUUGUGUGUGAUGCAGUAUAGCUCAACUACAUUUUGUUACCUCUUUACUUUUAAAUUGCUGACUGGAUGUUGAACUAAUUCUCUGCCUUCUCCAUCACUUACGUGGUUUCCUAUUUGCUUGAGCUAUUGUACUCAUGUAUAUUUCAAAAAUACUAAGAAAUGUGGCUAUCAAUUAUCUUAUAUACAAAAUUUUGGGGACUUGAUCUAUUGUACUCAUGUAUAUGUCUAAAUAGGACCAAAUUUUGCAUGUUUUCUGCUUGUAUGUAUGUGGUUGAACUAUUUAGCUAUUGAGCAAAGUUUAAACUUUCUAUGUGUGAAGGUUCAAUCAAAUUCAUUUUCGUAGCUAUGAGGUUGAGCCAAUUUUCUCGUCUACUGAAACCGAUCAUUUGAUAGGGAACUCAAAAGAAAUAGCAUAUAUGAGCAUACGUGAAGUUCAAAAGUUCUGGUUCAGGGAAGUAGACAUCCUGUAAUUUUUGGGAAUUAGUAGUUCACCUUUGCUAAGUGUAGCAAGUUCUCUGGUUGCAAAAAUUAAUUCACUUUGCAAAAAAUCUGGAGGUCAACAAUUUCUUUUGUUUGUUGUAGAUGGAGAUGUGUGUAUGUAUACAUGUGUUCUGGAGAUAGGAGAACUUAUCUGGUGGUGUGUGCGUGCUGCUGCAUCCUCUUCCAGCUGCUCUAAUUCACACCUUCAGUGCAAUUUCUAUAUUCCCUUGUGUUCACGAAUCUUGUAGUACUUUUUUCCAUAAAAAUCUUGUAGUAAUAUGUAAAGCAAGCGUGGCCAACACAUAGUUUAGGUGUCGCGGUAGUACUCACUGUUGAUGGUGGCCUUCUUUUGUGCCGCUACUACUUUGCCACCUAGAGUGGUACUGCUACUACUUAUCAUGUUGAUAAAACCUCGCGAAUAGUACAUCUAUUUGAUCAACGAUUCUGUAGGGAGAAAAAGUUCACCAAUGUACAAUCUCUAAUCUCAAUAUACCAAAAUUUUUUGUUUAGGAGUUGGUACUGCUCAAGUUUAUUUCUUGAUGUACACAUGAUGUCCAAAUUCUUCUUUCAAUUCGGUUCAAUUUAUAAAUUUCAUUCAGUUCAACGAGGUGGAGAUUGGGGCACGGUGGAGUGUGACCGUGUGUGUGCAGACGGCCCACCGCAACUCACCGGCCGGAUCCCGCUCUUCAGUGUAUGUUUUGUGUGCUUUUCAGUUCACCUACUUAACAAUUGCAAGUCCAAUUUCCUCCUUGUUUCCAUGUUAUUCCUCUAGCAAAACAGGUGUUAUGCCUCUAUGUAUCAAAAGAAACCUAUGUUCUUUUCUAUUCUUGCAAAUGAAGCCGCACUUCUGUUCUGUUUGAACUUACUUGGCAUAAAAAUAGUAUUUGUUCUACUGUAAAAAACAUAAAAUGAAAUGUCUUGGUGCAUGAUCGAAGGUGCAUCUGGAAGCAUCCCCAUGUCAAUUGCAAAGGUUUCCAGGAUGUGGCGUCCGUACUAGUAGUCCAACCCGGCCACCCCAGGCCGUUCACCGUCGCAGCUCCUAGGCCGAUUGUGUCGAGCCUUGUGCCACAUCCUGUGGAGCUCCAUCAUUGUAUUGCCCAUACCUUUCUUAGCCGCCACACCGGGUCGUUCAGCGACACAACCUAAAGCAAUUCGACACCGUGGCUUGGGAGGCACACACUUCGCCCGUUCAUCCCAGGAGAGCAGUACAUCACCUUGUGCGAGCAGACCGUUGCCGAUGUACACUGAUUCUCUAAGCUCCCUUGCCACUGCUCCAGUAUGUCCAGCGCCGUCCCUAGUCCAGCCCCGUGGCAUCCGGACGGUCAAGUUCAUGCCGAGCAGCAGUCCACGUCCGUCAGCUCCUAUUUCCACUAUAGUGAUUGGUUGCCGUUUUCCUCACCCUCCCCAAUGCACGACAACCCAACUCACAUGUUGCUGCCGUCCGCCACCCCAAAAUAGUUUUGGCUCUUCCUCAAGCAGCCAUUUAACCUUUUUGGUGUUUUUUCUGUUGGUGAUUGAUUUUAGCAAUUUGUAGCUAUCUUGCAUAUGGAACCUGAAAGUCUUAGACUGUUGUAGAUUCAGUUCUUGUAGCACAAAUGUCCCAGAGUUCAGUGACAUCUCUAAUUGAUGUAUUGUGGUCUUGCAUCUCCAAUGUAUGUUGCUCAGCUUCCUCCCGAUCCGCUUGAUCUCGCCCUUCUCCGAAGCAUGCUUCAGUUCAACAAAAAGCUCUAGAAAAGUUCAGAGUUCUGCGUACUUUGCAUUUAUAGUUGGCUCUUUUUUAUUCGUCUGUUUGGGUUAAGGUAGGGAGAGGGAGCAGAAGGUCAUCAUGAAAAAAUGUCUCUCCUAGAUCCGGGCUGGCAACCUGCGCCUCUACUAAUUAGGAUGAUGUGCACCUUUCCAUGGUCUAAUGUAUUCCUUCUUGUUAGUUCUCCAAUUAAGUUUGCCCAAACUUCAGGAUAAGCAGUUUGCUCAUUUAUUUUUCUUUUGUGUUUUGCAUUCAUUCUAUAACAGAGGGUGAUUGGAUAUUUUUGUGUCAGCCUGGAGGGAUUCUAAAACAUAUAUGUUCUGGUUAUGAUUUGAUGCCCUCUACAUCUUUUAUGUUAUUUACAUGGGUAUUAAAACUAUUUGCGUUCAGGUACAACAAGAAGUUCAUGUAUUGAUGCCCCUGGAGUCCAUGUAGCUCUGCUGCCGUGCUACCCUUAUUGGCCUCGGCUAUGUAUGUCAGUCCAAUACCGUCGCCCCAGGCCGUUCACUGUCGUAGCGACCAGGCCGUUCAUAGAAAAAUGUUGAUUAUAUUGAUACCUAAAACUAGUCUUUGCUCACUUUUGAAUUGAAAAGGAAAAAGGAGUCUCUCUAAUAAUAAGUUUAUUCAAAAAUAGAAACAAAAAUAAACAAAAAACAUGAAACACAAAAACCCCAUGAAAUUUGCAGGGAAAACAUAAUAAGUUCUAAGAAAAUAAAUAUAGAAGUUCAUAUUUUGAAACGAAUGAAGUAUUUGGGAACUAAAUGAAGUAUUUCAAAGUACAGAACUUUUGUUUAGCUUUGUUUGUGUACUUCUAAUGUUACUAUGCAUGAACUUGUCGUUAUUUUUACAUGUUUUACAUGAUUACGGUCAUUUCGACCUUGACAAAUUUCAUUUCACCUUAUAUGGUUUUUUCCAUCCAUCUUACAGGUCGAAGGAGCUCCCUUAUGUUUAGUGGAUUCAACAAAAAAAUUCCCUGCUGCCACUGCAUCCUGAGUUCAAGGGAUUCCUUAGGCGCCUUCUACACCAUCUUGCUAAUGAUGCCAUCGUUGGAUGCCACAGCCAUGCUCGUCGUUCUUGUACUACCAUUCACAUACUGCUCCCUGUUUUACUCCAUGGAGAUCCAUAGAAAUAAGUUAUAUUCAGUUUGCCACUUUUACAAUUGAUGGUCCUAUGUUGACCGAAACAAUAGUUCAAGCUCCUAAAAAAGCAAUCAUGUGUAUGCUACAUCACUUUGAGGAACUACAGCAAACAAAAUAAGGAGAGCUUGGUACUACUUGAUUUUUUUAUAGUACUACUUGAAGCCUUUCUGUUGUAUACAUUGUCUCCUAUUUAUUAUAACCUCGUCAGAUUGUUGGAUGCAUGUGGUCCUU
RNAcentral lists this long non-coding RNA (3816 nucleotides) under Triticum aestivum (bread wheat). Its description in RNAcentral is "long non-coding RNA (TAES_LNC021705)". The record is from RNAcentral. Lineage: Eukaryota; Viridiplantae; Streptophyta; Magnoliopsida; Poales; Poaceae.